Molecule: long non-coding RNA, 2114 nt
Organism: Equus caballus (horse)
Lineage: Eukaryota; Metazoa; Chordata; Mammalia; Perissodactyla; Equidae
Source: RefSeq, a predicted model, not a curated record
CACAUGGUCACCCAGCCAGAGACUGCAUUUUUCAUCCUUCCUUGAAGUGUGGGGCUCUGACUGAGGGCAAAUGAUGCCUGGAACCUCCUAAAGAGGAACCUCUUAUACAGGACUUGCUUUUCAUCCUCCCCGCAGGCUGGAAAUCUGACGAGACAGUAGCCCAGCCUCAACCAGAGGUGAAGUGGACACUCUAGGGAUGGUGCAGAAACAAGCUGGAAGCAAGCUGGGGUGGCUGGUGGAGCAGAGCACCCCCGCCCCACCCCGCACUAACCAGACUGUCAGGAAAGAGAGAAAGAAAGCUGACUGACGUAAGCCGGUGUGGAGGCUCCUUGCACCUCCUUAAUGCACGUGGCUUUACAGGAGGGGGUCAUUUCACAGAGAUGCAAGAACAUGCACCUUGGCCAACAGCUCAGCCGUCAGAGCAGUCAGGUCCCCAAGUGGGAGACCACGCUGGGGCAGGCAGCCUUGGAGGGAAUGCUGAUGCCCCUCAUAGACUACAACACGCUCUCAUAGACACCUUUUCAUUUGAUCCUCACCACAAAUAUAGGGGAAAGAAUUAACUUUAUUCCCUGUUUGAGAAACUAGGUCUCAAAUAAGUGUCAUGCUCCUGUUAAUAAGUGACACAGAGCCAAAAGCUUUGCGUCAUUCUCGGUCUCCCUGGAAAAGGAGCUACAGGGAAACUUGAGGCCAACCAAGGCGUUCCUGACAGACGACUUCCCCAUUCUUGUAGGGCAGCAUGGUUCCAAGGUCCAGUCUCAGCCUCAUCUGGAUAGGGUAAAUAACGCAGAAAUUCAAGGAAACUUGCUCUAAAUCACCCCAGCUCCGUGCUUCGCCCACCUUCGGUUCAAGUGGGAAUAACCAACAGCCCUAUGACUAUGACCUAGGCUUCCUCUAUUGAAGUCACAUUUUAAUAAAAUUCGUGGCCUAUAGCACGCUCAUGCUCUUGUUGGAGCCUCAUGACAAACUUGAGUGUAUUUUAUUUUUCCAUUUUUUAUAGGUGGAGAAACUGAGGCUGAGAGAGAUUAAGCUUCUUGCCUACGGUACCACAGUAAAUAGGUGAGAUCCUCCAUGUCGAAGGCUCAGCUCCAUGUCUAACACUUUUGAGGUGUGCAAUAAAAUAUUAGUUCCUAUUUUCAAUGGUAGGUUGGGACUUAAGUUGAAGUCUCCUUGCUAUGCAUUCACUAUUCCUCUUGGCCCCCGUCUGGUAGCCUUGCCUUUCCCAUCACCCCGUCCCUGAGGCUGCCUUGGGAACCUGCCCAGUAAUUAUGAUGGCAUCACUGACGUGGUGCUUCCUCUGUGCCAGGAACGUUCCAUGUGCUUCCAUUCAUUGACUAGUGGCCAUACUCUCCAGCCACAGACCACCAGGAGCACACCUGGAGGUGAACAUCCGGUUGAUUGAUUCGUUGCCAUGAGCGAGCACGCACGUUACAGAGAGCCACGGGGGUUCCACGAGAGGUGUUCGAAGGACUGAGAGGAUGUGCACUGGAGUCAGGUCUCUUCGCACUGCGUAUUGUGGGUUGUUCUUCCAGCGGGAAGGCCCGUGUGUAGCCCAGCCCCCCGGGCCCAGGAGAUGCCCCAGAGACAGAGCCCCUCGGAUAUCUGGCAGCUAAUGAGGAAUGAAACACUUCCAGCUUCUGCACCAACGUCGAAGGCUAAACCCAAGAGAGGAGUGCCGCUGACUGCCGCUCGGAGCCACAGCAUCGCAGCGAGGCAAGGACCUACUCCUCCUCCUGUGACAUCCCGACAGGUGCUCACCCAGCUUGUGCUCACACAUCCUCAGUGGCAGGGAGCUCACUACCUCAUAAGGCACUCGAUGGGGCAGACGCCGUCUUCCUGGGGAUCGAAUGACCACAGAAGGAAAAUAACUUAGAACAGGCAGCUCUUCAUUCUUCCUCAGCUGGUGUUUUUCCUCCAGAGCCUGGAAAGAAAUGUGGCCCAUGCACACCUUAAAUUGGACCAUCAAUUACUCGUGUCUUGAAUAUGCAGAGCUCAUUAGGGCUGUGUUGGCCACAGGAGAGUACCUGAGCUGAGAACAGUAAACUUGCCUCAGCCCUUUCAAUGCAGGCUGCCCCUCCACAGCGGAGCCGGCCUGGGGUUGCCAGGCACUAAUGUGA